ACACCAUGUCCGCUCUCCUCACCGAGCCGCACUCAACACCCUCCCAUCUCCCAUCUGCUCCUCUCGCCCUUGCCAUUCCAUCACUCUACGCCCCCGAUGCCUCGCUGAUUCUAGACUGGACACGGAUCUGAUCUGGCCACUCGGAGCUCGUCCACCACCACAGAAACUAGCAAGACGUGCAACUCAUUGAGAUUCAUCUUGAUUCCGUGGUGUGUGCAUCUAUGGCGUUCUAAUGGAAAUUUCGGUGUGAUUUCAGGACCCAUCCCUCUCGACCCAGGCGGCGCGCAUCUUGUCCCACGCUGCUCUCGCUUCCACCUCCUUCGCAAGUGAAGCGCCUCCUCCAGCCGAGGAGGAGCACAACGACUGGGUCAUCGCAGAUCGCCUCUGCCCACUCCCGUGAUGGGACGGCCACUAAGGUAUCGACCAUGCCUCCUCCGACAAGAACGAUCACAAAUUGAUUUGACUCCAAAGAUUUCUGAUGUGUACCUUCUGUCCGGUUCCUCUUCCUCUAGCUCUUCUGAGUGUAGGGCAGAGUUGAGUGUAGGGCAGAGUUCUGCAUGGACGGGUACCUGCAACGGCCAGGGUCAACAAUGAUGCAGAGUUCUGCAUGGACAAGUACCUGCAACGGCCAGGGUCAACAAUGAUGCAGAUCAAAUGUUCAACUACAGCCCCAUCUAGCCAAAGUCAGAUGUCGGUUCCAAGAAGGGGCUCUGUAGGUUGCAAGAGCUUCUGGUGAUGCAACAACAAGAAUCGACCUGGAGGUCUAGCCGUCUGGAAGUUAACGACUGAUAUUGUCCUGCUUGGGUUCAUUCUGGGCUUGAUUUUGCUGUAUAUAUGUGAUUUAAGCCGUGGAAGUAUUGUAAUAGACUUAAUUGUUGCUGUUGUGAAAACAUGUUCAUGCAUUCUUCGGUUCUGAUUAUUUGUUAUUCAA
Long non-coding RNA from Lolium rigidum, 931 nucleotides. RefSeq lists it as uncharacterized. The record is from RefSeq and is a predicted model, not a curated record. The transcript has 4 exons. Lineage: Eukaryota; Viridiplantae; Streptophyta; Magnoliopsida; Poales; Poaceae.